ACUGGAGUGUUGAAAUUUCAGGGUUAAACAUGUCAGAGUUGAUUUCAACUCUCAAAGUGUCAUUUUAACACAUUCUGAUUAAAAUGGUGUUCAGUGUUGGAGUUAUUUAACAGAGUUAUUCCAACCUAAGCAAAUCAACUCUGUAGAGAUGUAAAGUGCAUCUCGGCCGAGUUAACUUGCUUGAUAGGCCCCUGGGCUUCAGUCCAGGUAACCCCAUGUGUUAUGCCCCUGGGCUUUCAGCAGGGUGAACCCGUGCAUCAUACAAUAGUCUCCUGUGCGUGGCGUGGUCAACCGUCGUUUAUUUCGCUGCUGGAAUCAGGAAUGGAUGCGGAGUUGGACUUUUACACGAGAGAAAAAUGUUGAUCCAGGUUCGGUAUUGCCAACAGCAGAAGUAUGUGAAGUUGGAUGAGGUUGAUGGAUGUUUUGAUUUUGUGCAGUUCCAUGUCAAAGUCAUCGAGAGAUUUUGCCUGCCACCUGACGCAAAAUUAGUGUACAAAGAUGCAACAGGGACAGAAGUUGAUGAGGACAUUUUCAGUGACCUUGUCAGCCAAGGCAAUGUGACUCUAUCAGUUUUCUCAAAUGACGAAUUUUCCGAUUGCUCCUUGUCCUCUCCAUCCGAUUAUUCUGAUUCAAGCUUCAGUUCAUGUGCAAGUACAUCAACUAUACUCCUAGAUGAGGUUCCUAGGAAGAAACCAAGACUUGAGGGCCCACU
Long non-coding RNA from Syngnathus typhle (broad-nosed pipefish), 712 nucleotides. RefSeq lists it as uncharacterized. NCBI's taxonomy places the organism in Eukaryota, Metazoa, Chordata, Actinopteri, Syngnathiformes, Syngnathidae. The record is from RefSeq and is a predicted model, not a curated record. The transcript is spliced from 4 exons.